This 466-nucleotide ribosomal RNA is filed under the name uncultured bacterium. RNAcentral's name for it is "partial 16S ribosomal RNA". It matches the Rfam family "Bacterial small subunit ribosomal RNA", at positions 28 to 507 of the family's 1533-position model. The record is from RNAcentral.
GAUGAACGCUGGCGGCGUGCUUAACACAUGCAAGUCGAACGAUGAAGCCCAGCUUGCUGGGUGGAUUAGUGGCGAACGGGUGAGUAACACGUGAGUAACCUGCCCUUAACUCUGGGAUAAGCCUGGGAAACUGGGUCUAAUACCGGAUAGGAGCGUCCACCGCAUGGUGGGUGUUGGAAAGAUUUAUCGGUUUUGGAUGGACUCGCGGCCUAUCAGCUUGUUGGUGAGGUAAUGGCUCACCAAGGCGACGACGGGUAGCCGGCCUGAGAGGGUGACCGACCACACUGGGACUGAGACACGGCCCAGACUCCUACGGGAGGCAGCAGUGAGGAAUAUUGCACAAUGGGCGCAAGCCUGAUGCAGCGACGCCGCGUGAGGGAUGACGGCCUUCGGGUUGUAAACCUCUUUCAGUAGGGAAGAAGCGAAAGUGACGGUACCUGCAGAAGAAGCACCGGCUAACUACGUG